RNAcentral lists this ribosomal RNA (1555 nucleotides) under Staphylococcus aureus. Its description in RNAcentral is "16S ribosomal RNA". It matches the Rfam family "Bacterial small subunit ribosomal RNA". Lineage: Bacteria; Bacillati; Bacillota; Bacilli; Caryophanales; Staphylococcaceae. The record is from RNAcentral.
UUUAUGGAGAGUUUGAUCCUGGCUCAGGAUGAACGCUGGCGGCGUGCCUAAUACAUGCAAGUCGAGCGAACGGACGAGAAGCUUGCUUCUCUGAUGUUAGCGGCGGACGGGUGAGUAACACGUGGAUAACCUACCUAUAAGACUGGGAUAACUUCGGGAAACCGGAGCUAAUACCGGAUAAUAUUUUGAACCGCAUGGUUCAAAAGUGAAAGACGGUCUUGCUGUCACUUAUAGAUGGAUCCGCGCUGCAUUAGCUAGUUGGUAAGGUAACGGCUUACCAAGGCAACGAUGCAUAGCCGACCUGAGAGGGUGAUCGGCCACACUGGAACUGAGACACGGUCCAGACUCCUACGGGAGGCAGCAGUAGGGAAUCUUCCGCAAUGGGCGAAAGCCUGACGGAGCAACGCCGCGUGAGUGAUGAAGGUCUUCGGAUCGUAAAACUCUGUUAUUAGGGAAGAAGAUAUGUGUAAGUAACUGUGCACAUCUUGACGGUACCUAAUCAGAAAGCCACGGCUAACUACGUGCCAGCAGCCGCGGUAAUACGUAGGUGGCAAGCGUUAUCCGGAAUUAUUGGGCGUAAAGCGCGCGUAGGCGGUUUUUUAAGUCUGAUGUGAAAGCCCACGGCUCAACCGUGGAGGGUCAUUGGAAACUGGAAAACUUGAGUGCAGAAGAGGAAAGUGGAAUUCCAUGUGUAGCGGUGAAAUGCGCAGAGAUAUGGAGGAACACCAGUGGCGAAGGCGACUUUCUGGUCUGUAACUGACGCUGAUGUGCGAAAGCGUGGGGAUCAAACAGGAUUAGAUACCCUGGUAGUCCACGCCGUAAACGAUGAGUGCUAAGUGUUAGGGGGGUUUCCGCCCCUUAGUGCUGCAGCUAACGCAUUAAGCACUCCGCCUGGGGAGUACGACCGCAAGGUUGAAACUCAAAGGAAUUGACGGGGACCCGCACAAGCGGUGGAGCAUGUGGUUUAAUUCGAAGCAACGCGAAGAACCUUACCAAAUCUUGACAUCCUUUGACAACUCUAGAGAUAGAGCCUUCCCCUUCGGGGGACAAAGUGACAGGUGGUGCAUGGUUGUCGUCAGCUCGUGUCGUGAGAUGUUGGGUUAAGUCCCGCAACGAGCGCAACCCUUAAGCUUAGUUGCCAUCAUUAAGUUGGGCACUCUAAGUUGACUGCCGGUGACAAACCGGAGGAAGGUGGGGAUGACGUCAAAUCAUCAUGCCCCUUAUGAUUUGGGCUACACACGUGCUACAAUGGACAAUACAAAGGGCAGCGAAACCGCGAGGUCAAGCAAAUCCCAUAAAGUUGUUCUCAGUUCGGAUUGUAGUCUGCAACUCGACUACAUGAAGCUGGAAUCGCUAGUAAUCGUAGAUCAGCAUGCUACGGUGAAUACGUUCCCGGGUCUUGUACACACCGCCCGUCACACCACGAGAGUUUGUAACACCCGAAGCCGGUGGAGUAACCUUUUAGGAGCUAGCCGUCGAAGGUGGGACAAAUGAUUGGGGUGAAGUCGUAACAAGGUAGCCGUAUCGGAAGGUGCGGCUGGAUCACCUCCUUUCU